GGCCAACAAUCUGUUUCUCCACUUCAAGUAAGAGUUGAGACAGCAAAUCAUUAUUAUUUUUAUAAUAACAACAGAAGUUCUAAAUUGUCAGUUUAUCCCUUGAACAUACAACUCCUGCUUUUAAGACUUGGAGGAGCUGCUUUUCAAGAGACAACAGGAAAGGAAACUGGAAAUCUCAUCAAAGAAAGAGAGUGUUCUUGGGGGUUCAGCCUUGAAGAUUUCACUUUAUGAGCACAGUUUCCAGUUUGAAGAUCACAGAAAAGCAUUAUCACUUCAAGAUUUAAUAAAAGAAAUAUCCAAGAUAAAUUUCUAAUUGGUUGCGAUCCUUGAAGGAAGUUAAAACAGAAGAUCUGUGGAUGGUUUUCUCCUAAGAAAUCAUUUGCAAUGAAGAUCCUUCUCUUUUUCUCUAUUUCAUUCUUCUUUGAUGUCUUCAUUCUACCAGUGGACUCUAGGUCUGUUGGAAAUACUUUGUCACCACCAAAAGUCACAUGUCUACGGAAGCUUGAGAAACUACACUCAGAGACACAUAAUUCCUCUACAAUAUUUGAAAAUGCACAAUAUGGUACAGAGGAAAAACAGAAAGCUGGAAGUAAAAAGCACUACGCUCUCUUUAAUCUGACACAUGCAUGUAUAAUGUUUGGUGGUCAGUGUAAAAAUAAAUGUGGUGAAAAUGAAUUUAGGAUGGUAUAUUGUGAUGUUUCUACAUCGCUUUGCUGCAUUAGACAAUGUAACCCUAAGAUGUAUAAAUAACUGAAGAGACCGAUUUACAGAAAGAGGAUCAACAUGAACUGUCUUCUCACUACUUCAUUACAUCCAUUACUUCAUUCACAGCUUCAUGUUUCUGUUCAUAAAUCUCUAAUAAAUAAAGGAUUAAAUAACAUACAUUUCAACCUGAACCAUUCAUGAACAUUGUGCCUACUUGGAGGAAAGAGUCAAGAGUACAGACUAGAGCUUUGAACUUGGGAAUAACAAUAGAAUGAGAAAAUCCCAUCAUCGGACUAUGGUGUUAAAUUAAGUUCUGGGGACAAUUCUAUGUUUAAUAUGAAAAGCAUGCUGCCAAUGAUUAGUGAUGAAUAUCAAGCAUUCUUUCAGAAGAGACAAGAGUGGAGAGAGAGUUUAUGAGAGAUGGAAGGUAUGUGUUACCCCUGAACUAGUGAAAAUGGUUGCAAGAACUUUGAAAUGUGGAGUCACUGUAACUUUCUUAGUUAUGCUUUUCCUCUGUUUAUUGAUAGAAUUCUAAAAAUAAAAAUAAUUCAAGUAACAUUGCCUGUCUUUUGAGAAAAAAUAACUCCAAAUGGUAGUAUGGAAGGGAACUAUUUGAAUGAAGAAAGAGAACAUAAAUCUCUGCAGCUUAUGGUAAUAAUAAUAAUAACUUUGAAGUGUUAUAAUUGCAACUUUUUGUUUUGUGUUGUGUUUUUAAGAUAUUUCCUCAUAUCACAUAAUUCUAUCAGCUUGUUAUCAGCAUCUCUAAUCUUAAUAUUUUCCUUGUAUGUACAUAAUUCUAGGAAAAAACAAUAGAAUGUAUAUAUAUAUGCAAACCUAUAUGAUAAGGUAAAGCUAAACACAAGAAUGUGUUGACUGAAGGAUGGCUUUAAAGGGAAAAGGUUAGUAGCAGUCUUACUGCAUAAUCUAGCUUAAAGGGUUUGCCCUUAUUGACGCUUCUAGUGAAAUCUAAGAAUAUUAUCACGGCUGUGUGCUUGGCUGGCAGUCCUGAUUAUAACACAACUUCUAAUGU
RNA transcript from Bubalus bubalis (water buffalo), 1735 nucleotides. RefSeq lists it as uncharacterized. The transcript is spliced from 6 exons. NCBI's taxonomy places the organism in Eukaryota, Metazoa, Chordata, Mammalia, Artiodactyla, Bovidae. The record is from RefSeq and is a predicted model, not a curated record.